This 11379-nucleotide long non-coding RNA is filed under the name Marmota monax (woodchuck). The record is from RNAcentral. Lineage: Eukaryota; Metazoa; Chordata; Mammalia; Rodentia; Sciuridae.
CUCUAAGCCAGUUAUUAAUAACAGCCCAGUGAGCUCCUGAUCCACUAACAGCAUAUGGUGUUUUUCACCAGAAAGAGAGAUCAUUCCUUUGACUUUGGACUUUGCUUAUUGAACCCCUGAACUGUAAGUGCUGGAUUUUCGUUUUGUUGUUUUUUUAACUAUAGCAUUUUAAGAUAUUGGUGUAGGAGGAAAUUUAAGGGGGACUCUUGUUCGAUUCUGGUAUAGAAGGAGAAUAUAGUAGGUUAAGAUUCACAAAGCCCCUUUCCAUUUCCUGCAUUUCAACACCUCUGCAAGUUUUAUAGGGUGGACUAUGAGAAAUAUUAAUUAAUUAGAAUCCCAUGCCUUUCAUUUCCUUUCUGGCUAAAUAAAAGCAGGAAGAGAAGCAAGGGAUUAAUGAUACUGUAUAUAAAUUAUUUGACUAAGCCCUGUGGCAGGCCUGGUAAUCUUUGACAGUGAUGUCAAAGAUUAGUUUCACAUUUGAAAGUAACACGGGGGAGUUGGAUGGGAGACAUGGGCCCUUGUGUGUUCCACAUUCCAUGUUUGGGUGAGAGAGGGUGCUGUCUUGUUACUUCCUUGCUUUUUAGCCAAAGGCUUUGUGUCUGCAGUCUUUUUUUUUUUUUUUUUUUUUAUAACCACUGUUUUUGAGAGUCUUGCAAAGCAGGUCACUGUGCUUACUUUCUGGAAAAGGAGGGUCCUGAAGUCCAGAAAGACAGACACCUUGCUUGCUCCUUGUGAGCAGAGCUGAAACCUGACACUGCAGUCCUUCUGCAGGACCACAGACUAGCAUAGCUUUCUACUUUGCUUAUAUAUGUUCAGUCCCUAAACAUGUGCCUCAGGCUUCCUGACAGAAUGUGCAAGGGAGGCAUUAUAAUGACUUGGAAAGGGGCAGAUAUGUACCCGGUGUGGAAUCCUGGUUUGGACCACUUACAAGUUGUGCAAUGGCAAGCAGGAAUUCAACCACCCUGAGCUUCAGUUUCUUCCUUUGUGAAAUGGGAACCAUAACUUGUUUUACUGGGCUUUCCAGUUUAUUCAUGAUGUACAUAAUAGCCAAGUAUAGUGACAACUAUCUUACAGUUAUUUAUAGAAUUCUCCUUCAAAAUUUUCUUAAAUCUUCCUAAUCAUCUCUCAUUUGUUUCAAAUUUAGACCCAGAGCCUCCAAAUAUAGCCUCUAAUGGGAAACAUUAAUCUAGAGUAUAGAGACAAUAUUAAACGUUCACUGUUUUUAAUAUCUUCAUUUUUAGGAUGGUAUAAGCCUGUGAAUGCAGAGAAUGGAUGGAUAGAAGUAGGGUAUUAGCAGCUCAGGACAAUAAGUCUACAGUUACAAUCAAUGUUGAUGGGAAGCUCCAGAAACUGUUCAGAGCUUAAGCUAUUGCUUUUUAUAAACCUACCUGACUGUUAUAAUCAUCAUUCCAAAUUUUUCUUUUGGCUACUAUUCUUCUACAGUUCUAUAUUACCUCCUUGCCACAUUUGAUUCCAUUCUGUGUCUGUCUACAACAGAAAGGAAAGUCGUCUCUGAGGGGCAAGCUUCCCACAGGUUACUCUGUGGAGUAGUAUCAGGAGAUACUAUAAGAUCUGUGUUUUCUUCUAUAAAGUUUCAUUCUGCAAAAGAUGCACUUAAGUCCUACUGGAUGAAACAUACAGAGCUAGGCCAGGAAGUGGCUCAUAAGCCUUUUAAUAUGGAGAAAGAAGCCAUUUUGUGAAUAGCUUUGGUAAGAGCCAGAAUGGACUUGCUCUGAUUCAGUGCUUUUCAGAGCCUCUCCUUGAGUGUCAUCUUCCAAGUAAUGACUUCGUAAGGCAUAGAAGAAAGACAUCUUGAUGUCACAUCUCUCCCCUUUCCCCCACCAUGAAAGGAAAAAAAAAUGAUCCAGCACCCACUUUGUUGGAAGCCCUGUGCUAAAUGCUGGAAAGAUCACUUCUUUUCUAAAGGAGGUCACAGUCUUUAACUGAAACUUGAAAUCGUGCUCUUCUAUUUACUAUCUACUUUCUCAGCUGAGCUUGACUCAACAUGAAAUCCAGCUGGUUUCAGGAAUCACUUCUGCACCCAGAAAACAUUAAGAGAAAAUGCAGCAGUGAAUCUCUGCAGAGGUGUGUGUGGGGCAUGCCCAGUAUGCAGUUAAAGAGGUUUUGCCAAAUGAUCUUGAGAACUUAAACAAGUUCAGAGAUCCUGUACUCUCUGUUCCUUGACCCCAAACCAGGGAGGACACUUCUUUGGAUAGCUGAGUUCUGCAGAUGAAAAACCCCACCAGUUAACAUAUAACCCCCUCAUUCCUUUUUCUGUUUCUUUAUAUUCUUCAUAUCUCUUUAAAAAAAAAUAUAUAUAUAUAUAUGUGUGUGUGUGUGUGUGUGUGUGUGUGUGUGUGUGUAUACAUAUAUAUGUACACACACAGACACACACACACACACACACACACAUAUAUAUAUAUAUAUAUAUAUAUGUUAUAGAUGGACACAAUAUCUUUCUUUUUUUCUUUAUUUUUAUGUGGUGCUGAGGAUCAAACAUAGUGCCUCAUCUGUGCAAGGCAAGCACUCUACCACUGAGCCCCAGCCCCAGCCCUCUUCAUACCCCUUAAAGGACAGCUUUGAUUAGUGCCUCUCUGUUGGGGCUCUGGAUGCAAACACAUCUCCAUCCAAAUCCUUGGUCACCUCUUGCUAAAUGUGUGAUAGCACAUUUGGAUGGAUUGUCUAGUUCUCUGGGCUUGGGUCUUUUGACUAAGAGAGCAGUGGUAUUAAUAUUCCACUUCAUAAAGUUUUAUGAGAUGGAAGUCAAAGUGUGGGUGGGCUUAUCUUUAUUUUUGAAUUAAGUCCUUUCAGAUCAUGUAAGACAGAUGUUAUUAUCUCUUAUUCUCCAGAUGCAGUUAAGUGCCUUGUCCAAGGCUGCAAAGCUAACAGCGCCAGAGCCAGGAUCUAAAACCAUUCUAUAUGGCUCCAAAAUCUACAUUAUCUUGUAAUCCCAUCUGUGACAAAUCACAUGUGUUUUAGUCAUCUUUUUCAUCACUGUGACCAAAAGACCUGAUAGCAACAGCAGAGAGGAGGCAAAGUUUAUUUUGGUUCAUGGUUUCAGAGUUUCAGUCCACAGUCAGCUUAAUCCAUAAUUCUUGGCCUGGAUGGGGCAGAACAUCUUGGUAGAAGGCUGUGACAAAGAAAAGCAGCUCAGGACUUGACAACCAAGAAGCAGAAAGAUGCUUUCUAAAGUCAAAACAUAUACCCCAAAAUGUCAAGACCAACUUCCUCUAGCUUCACACUCACCUGCCUAGAGUUACCGCCCAGUUAAUCUAUAUCAGUGGAUUAAUGCACUGAUUAGGGUAUACAUCCCAUAAAUUUAUAAUUUACUAAUUAACCUUCUUUCAUUAUAGCACACAUGAGAUUUGGGGGUGGGGAUACCAAAUAUCUUAACCAUAACAAUAGGUUUUUGUUUUCAGCCAAAAUUUACUUUGUCAAGUGCUUUACCUUUAGAUGUUGACCUGUUUCACUUGAGAUUUACUUUAUUCUGGCCUUUCUGGUCUUACAUUAGCCUGAAUCAAUGAUGUUGGAAGAUGGAGAAGGCAGUCUUUACAAAUAGCCAAGUCUGAUGAAACACAGAAUCUAAUUUAUCAUGAAUAUCAAAAAAAUUGCUAAUGUUGCUCUCUGUGACCUGGGACAAGCCUACAUCUCUGGGCCUCAUUUGGCAAAUGAGAAGUUUAUGCAAGAUCAAAUGUCAUUCCUGGUACCAACAUUUCUUUAUUAAUUCAAACCUUUUACAACUAUUGUUUCUCUUAGUUAGAGGAAAAUCACCUUGAAAUCAUGUUGUAAUCUGGAAAAAAAGUACAACGAUCAGGGUUGCAAUCAUUUAAAAUCCAUAACUUUUUUGUUUAUUCUUAUACAAGCUUUCUCAUAUAAGGCUUAUGUCAGUGAUAAGUCAAUUUUCAGAUAUGUGGUAGAAUUUCCUUUCUGAUAUAAUUCAGCUUUGGGAAGAUGUAAUGGCACCUUGAUUAGUUCAGAAAAUAAAACUUGAACUAAAUGUCAGAAACUAAUAAGACACUCAGAAUCCAUUUACCAUUAAAUAUGCACAUUUUUCAAUGAACUCCUUACUCACAUGAAUUUGAGGAGCUUAAUGAGAGAACAUCUUCCUUAUGCCAUAGGAGCAGUGGCCAUCCCAGAAGGACACUCUUGUCCUGGAACCCUGCAGGUCCUCUGCCACAUUGUUGUUCCCUUCCAAAAACUUGACUUAGUUCCCUAAUUCCAAGCAAAAACAAGAAAAGCAACAGCAUUGAUUUAAUUUUCAUUUGAUUUCUCAUGUUUCAAGAAGACAAUUUUAUUAAGCAUAAUCUUUAUGGGAAAGGAGACAUUUUCCAAAUGGAAAUAAGAUGAAAGCACUCAACAUUGGGGUUUUAUUUUUUUUAAAUUAUUUUCUGGAUAAUUAUUUUAAAUAUCUAUAUCUGUAUAUAAUGUUUUUCUUACUGUGACUGUCAUUUGAAAGAAAUGAACUUUCAGUUUUCCAUAAAAUCUUCUACCUGAAGUGCAGCUCUUAAGUUGAUACUUGUUGAAAAAUAAUUAUUGCCAGAGACUCUGAAGUAUUAGGAUUCAGGAGAGACAAGGCUGUCCCCAACUUCUAGAAAGACAGCAACUGUCCAUGGCAUUGUGAGUAGCAAUGGAUAGAACACAGUGUAGUGACUGGUCAUUUGUUAUAGAAAAUUGGGAAAUAAAUACUGAGGUGGUCAGAAUGGAUCCUGGAGGAGGUAACAUUGAGUCUGAAAAGAUGAGAAGUUUGACAGAUCUGUGUGUUUAGCUGCUAAAAAAGCCUGAGAAUAAUUCAUUUAAGGGGUACAGUUUAGCAGGCAACAUGCUAAAGUAUAAUUAAUAAUAGUAAUUAUCAUUGUUUAUUUACUUUCUAGGCACAAAUAUUAUUUAAUUCUCCCACUAUCCUAUGAAAUAGGACAUUUUACCAUCUUCAAUUAAUAGAAGUUCUGAGUACAGUUAAUAUAACUUGCUCAAGGUCUCAUGAUAAGUGGCAGACCUGAGACCUAAACCUUAGUCUGAUUCCAGAGUUUUACUCAACCAUCAGGAACUUUGAGCAUUCUUCUUGUGUCUACUUAAUUUUAAGAGGUUAAGGGGAGAAGUUUUUCAGGUAAAAGAUUACCAGUGAUUAGAAACAAGAGCAAAAACAUCAUAUUAGUAAUAAACAAGAAUGAAUUAGGUAAUAAAAAUAGACAAUAAGACACUGUUCUUUUAGCUAAACUUGUUGCUAGACAGUGAUCUUGUAGUUGUGGUCUAGGGAAUGUCCCAUGGACAAAAGGCAGAUUGUUUUCAUAAGAAUAAAUUAACAGCUCACUGCUAAUUGAAAAACCUCUGAGCCCAGAGUGGUCACUGAGGAUCCAUCAAUUGUUCAACAAGUAUUUCAUAUUUAUAGAAAGUAGCCAGGAUCAAAGAAGGAGCAUGGCUAUUAAUGAUUAUAUGGAUAGUUCCUUUCCAGUAUGAUCAAUUACCAUUGCAUUACAGUUUCUUUCCAAAGUAACCUCAUUUGAAAACAUUAAUUAAUCAGUAGAGUUAAAAGAGAUUGACAUCUUCAGGCUAGAGUCCUAGGUAGUGUCUGGACUCCAGCACAGAAUACUGGCAGCUUUGGGUGGGCUACUCAGUGUCUUUCAUCUCCCAGUAGUACAUAAUCAGUGCUUUAGUCAGCUUUUUUUCACUGUGAUCAAAAGAUCUGAACAGAACAACUUAGAAGAGAGAAUGUUUAUUUGGAGCUCAUGAUUUCAGAGGUCUGUCUGAAAAUAUAGAGAACCAACUCCAUUAUUUUGGGCCCAAGAAUAGGCAGAGCAUCAUGGAGGAAGGGUGUGGCAGAGGAAAGCAGCUCAAGUCACCAGGAAGCAGAGAGACUACUCUGCUCAACAAGGUCAAAAUAUAAACUCCUCCUCCAGCCACACCCCAUCCGCUUAGUUACUACCCAGUUAAUCCAUUCAAGUGGCUUAGAGCAAUGAUUAGGUUAAGGCUCCCACAACCAGAUCAUUUCCCCUCUGAACUUGAAUUGUCUCACACAUGAGCUUUUGGGGGCACCUCCCAUCUAAACCAAAAUAAUCAGGGACCAGCACAUAGUAGUCCCUGAAAAAACAGAAGUUAUCAUAAUUAAGUGACCUAUUAAGAAAAAAUGGACAGAUAUCAAUAGUUUCACUUUUCUACAUGUGUCUCUAGGGAACUUCCAUGAAUAUUAUCUUAACUGUUAGAUAUUGAUGGAAACAGGAGUAGGUUUAGAAAAUUCUUGUCAAAAAAAGAAAAUAUUUUUGAAAUGUAACUCAUACUGUUAAGAUUAUAAAGUUGAAUCCAAUGAAAAGUAUUUUUCUUUUGAUUAUAAUACAGACUUUGCAAAGUAUGUUCUGUUCUUUGUCUUGACCAAAAGUUCACAUCUAAUAAAGGGAAGUAGUAAGGGUUGAAGGAAAUUGAGAAAAGGGAACUAGUAAUACAUUUUUAUGAUAGAUGGUUUACAUUAUUGUUUGUUUUGUUUUGUUUUGCCCCCAGAAGAUCAAGCUAUUUAGGAAAUUCACUCGUAAUGUAAUCCCCAAGAAUUGGGAUUGAUUUGGGAAACUUUUUAAUAUGAAAAUAAUAAGAUAAAAAAGCUUACAAAGGCAAGGGCCAGCAAGAUGGUGGCGAGUGAAGAACAGGGAAUACCAUGAAGUCCAGCUCCUAGAAACCAAGAGUUAUUGCUAUUCUCCACUUGUCUAAUAUACUGUGUGAGAUGUCACUACUCAGCUGUCCAAUCAAUAAUGAACAGGUCAAUUUGAAUUAGAUUAUUUGAACCUAAAUCUUGAUAGAGUCAAGAAAAAAGUAAAGAAAAAUUUUAAAAACUAGAUGAGAGAUUACCCAUUUUACUUUCAAUAUGACAUUUUAUAAAAUGAUGAACAGGGCCAAGGUUGGUGGCAUUCCCUGUAAUCUCUGCUAUUCUAGAAACUAAAGCAGGAAGAUUGCAAGUCCAAGGCCAUCUUUGGGAAUUUAGGGAGACCCUGUCUCAAAAUAAAAAAUAAAAAGAACUGGGGUUAUAGUUCAGUGGUGAAAUGUCCCUGGGUUCAACCCUCAUCGUCUAAAUAAAUAAAUAAAUAAAAUAAUAAAGUGACUCCCAUGUGGUCUUAGGAAACAAGAAAAAGAAAGGGAGACACAUUCAAAUGGGAGGGGAAAUUGUGAUCAUACAAAGUUUCAAUAUAAAUUUGCAUAAAAAUAUGCUUGACCCCUAAUAACUUAGGGUGUCAUGACUGAAAUUGAAAGUCAUGUCAUUUAGCUGUAUUUAUUUAUCUAUUUAUUCACCUAUCUAUCGAUCUAUUUAUUUCUAUUUUUUGGUACUGAAGAUUGAACCCAGGUCCUUCAAUAUAAGUGCUCUAAGACUGAGCUACACCCAGAUCUCUUUUUAGUUUAUUUUGAGACAAUGUUUCCCUCGGUUGCCUAGGAUGGCCUGGAAUUUGUUAUCCUCCUGCAUCAGCCUCUUGAGUAGCUGGGAUUAUAAGUGUGGGCCACUCAGAUAUAAUGUUAAAAUUCUACAUUCAAGAUAAAACCAAAGCCUGGAAAGAUUCACACUUAAUAUGUUCCAGCAUAGUUUUUACAGUAUCAUUGUCCCUCCAAGUGAUGAUUAUUAUCAAAUAAAAUCAUGGAGAUACUACUUAGAAAAUACUAAAUGACUGGGCAUGAUGGCACAUGACUGGAAUACCAGCGGCUCAGGAGGCUGAGGCAGGAGGAUCUCGAGUUCAAGGACAGCCUCAAAAAAGCAAGGUGCUAAGCAACCUAGUGAGACCCUGUCUCCCUCUAAAUAAAAUACAGAAUAGGGUUGGAGAUGUGGCUCAGUGGUCAACUGCCUCUGAGUUCAAUCCCUGGUAUCCCCCCAAAAAAGAAAAUAUUAAGUAAUUAAAUAUGAUUACAACUCAUGCUUUAGCCAGUUAUUAAACCCCUAGAUUUUAAAAGCUGUAAGAAUUAAUAUAAAUCAAAGUAUUGUGAUGAUCAUAAUUUUAAUCCUCAGUAAAACCAGUGUGUGUUAAAAAGACUUUGUAAUGAUAUAAACUUGUGUCUUCCAGUGAUUUCAAUCUAGAAACAAGGGGAAAAACGAAACAGGAACUAGCCAGGUUCCUGUUCGUCAUGAACAUUUUGAGCAAGAUAGGAAUGUGUCCUUUAGUGAAAGAGAUUUGUGUUGUUGAGCACACAAAUUACACAUUUUCAUUAAACUGCUCCAUUGAUAAAUAUAAUUUUCCUUGGAUUCACGUUUGUUGUAUUUGGCUUGACAAAAGUACAAUCAGAAUAAAUUACUUUUAAAUAGAUGAACAGGAAAAAAGACUACUUUCUGUAGUUUCUGGUAUUAUAGAGACAACUACUUCCUAAAUGAAAUGGUAUGAAAAAUAGAAACAGGGUCACCCAUACUCCUCCUUCCAAGCUUAACUACUAUGACUACUACUGACAUUUGUAUAUAUUUCUCUCAUCUUUUUAAAAUAUUUCUAUUACCAGGUGUAAAAUACAUACAGAAGAGCACAGAAAACUUCUAUAUACAGUUUAACAAAUAGUUAAAAAACUGUUUGCCAGUGUAAACACCACCCAGGACAAGAAAUGAAACAUUGCUGAUAUCUCCUGUCUGUCCAUUUCUGUUUUAGUUUUUUUUGUUUGUUUGUUUUAUUUUGUUUUUUUGCUGCUGUGACUAAAAGACCUGGCAAGAAAAAUUUUAGCAGAGGGAAAGUUUAUCUGGGGGCUCAUAAUUUCAAUCUCAAUUCCUACACAGAUGGCUCCAUUCCUCAGGAAUUGAGGUGAGGUAGAACAUCAGGCGGAAGAGUGUGGCAGAUAGAAGCAGCUCACAUGAUGAUUACGAAGCAGGGGUGGGGGGUGGAGAGAGAGAGAGAGAGACAGAGAGAGAGAGAGAGAGAGAGAGACAGAGACAGAGACAGAGACAGGGACUGAUUGACUCUACUCACUAGAUACAAAAUAUAUACCUGUUAUGGUUUGGAUGUGAGGUGUCAGAUGUUCACAUGUCAGAAAAUGCAAGAAGGUUCAGAGGAGAAAUGAUUGGUUUGUGAGAGUCUUAACCCAAUCAGUGAAUUAACCCCCUAAUAGGGAUUAACUGAGCUGUAACUGAAGUGGUAGGGUGUGGCUGGAGGAGGUGGGAGUUGGGAGCAUGGCUUUGGGGGUAUAUAUUUAUAUUUGACAGUGGAGGCCUCGCUCUCUCUGCUUCCCGAUUGUCAUGUAAGCUGCUUCCCUCCACCAUGCUCUUCCACCAUGAUGUUUAGUCUUACCUCCAGCCCUAAGGAAUGGAGCCUACCUUUUAUGGAAUAAGACCUCUGAAACUGUGAGCCCUCAAAUAAACGCUUCCUCCUUUAAAUUUGUUCUGGUCAGGUUCUUUAGUCACAGCAGCAAAAGAGCUGACUCAAGCAAUACCCCAAAGCCAAGUUCCCCAGUGCCCCACCUCCUCCAGCCAUGCCCUACCCACCUUCAGUUGCCAGUCAGUUAAUCCUGCCAGAGGAUUAAUUCAUUGAUUGGGUUAAGAUUCUCCUAACCCAAUCAUUUUACCUCUGAGCCUUCUUGCAUUGUCUCACACAUGAGCUUUUGGGGGACACCUCCCACCCAAACCAUAACACUUUUCUUGCCUUCACUUAGGUGCCAUGCCCUGAGCUGGUAUUCAUGAAUGUUGUACAAAAUCUUUUAUUUAUCUAUUUAUCUCUUUCUUUUUUCUUUCUUUCCUUUCUGGUACCAGGGAUUGAAGUCGGGGACACUCAACCACUAAGCCACAUCUCCAGACCUUUUGUGUGUUUUAUUUAGAGACAAGGUCUCAGUGAGUUGCUUAGGGCCUCACUAAAUUGCUGAGACUGGCUUUGAACUCUAGGUCCUCCCGCCUCACCCUCCCGAGCUGCUGGGAUUACAGGUGUGCACAGCCACAAAAUCUUACAAUAUUUAAAAAUCAAACAUGUAAUAUGAUGAGUCACUCUCCUACAAAGAGAAGUUUUUGUUUUGUUUUGCUUUUGGUGUUGUUUUGCCAUGAAGAUAUUGAAGCAUUUGUUUUAAAAUAUUUAUUAGAGGAUUUUUCCUUUAAAAAUUGUGAAUGUUUGCCCUGCCAGGAAAACCCUGGAAUUCAGCUGAAUCCUUCUGUUAAAUGUUCAGGGUUUAGAUAUACAGUUCUCUGAUCAAAUAAAAAGAAUAUUUCACAUUUUCCAAAGCCCACUCUUCAACAUCUCCUUCUUGUCUACUUGUCUAAUUUCAGAGUUUCUGCAGGCAGGUUCCCCACCCCUCCACUACCUCCACUACCUCAAGGUCCAAUUAAACCUUUUAAUGUGCUUUGACACAGGAACCAAGGUUGCUAGGAGACCACCUGUGCUGAAUGUACUUGGCCUAGCAAGAGCAGACUGAGGGAGAAAAAAACAAAAACAAAUAAGGAGCUCCUUACCUACUACUACCUGGGAUUGAUUCAGGUGAGUUCAAUUCAGAGAUGUGGAGGAAAUAAAACAUUUGAUGUCCCAUUCAGUGACCAAAACAUGAGGAAGGAGUUUGAGGAAAAGUCAAGGAAGGAAAGGCUUUUUGCUAUUGUUUUUAAUUCUGGGCUGGCGGUGUGGCUCAGUGGUAGAGCACUUGCCUAGCAUGUGUGAGGCACUGGGUUUGAUCCCAAACAUUGGGGGGGGAAUAUAUACAUACAUACAUACACACACACACACAUACACAUACACACACACACACCACACACACACACCACACACUUAUAUAUAUAGUCAUUACCUACCUUUCCCUAUGCCUUCAAAUCCUCAUUUCCUAGUAAUAACAACUGAACAGGUUAGAGGAAUGGCAACUUCAUGAAUGCCAAUAAAAUUAUCAAGUGAUCAAUGACUGAAGAUCUUUCGUAAGUAAACUGCUAAUGAUGUGAAAAGAGCUAUUUCUCUUCCUUAGAAUGAAAGGAAGUUUAGCAUUUGGCAUAUAGACCAACCCGUGAUGGCCAUGACAUAGAAUGGUGAAUGUGAGUUGGGAAAAAAUAUUUUAGUUUAUGUUUGGUUACAAAUAGGUACGAAGUAUUCCAUAGAAGAUGUAUCUUCAUCACUGAAUUUUAAUAACGUAAAUAUUAGGUUGAGUGGAAAGAAUCUGGAUUAUAAAUGGGUUCACUGUGGAUGCUUUUUUCUUUUUUCCCCUAGGGAGCAGAAAUAUUCUGAAUAUGACUGGAAAAAGCUGGAUAUUAAUUUCUACUACUGCCCCCCAAAGUCUGGAAGAUGAAAUUGUGGGAAGACUUCUAAAAAUUUUGUUUGUUUUAUUUGUUGACCUAAUGUCUAUUAUGUAUGUUGUUAUAACUUCUUAGAAAACUGACUUCACAUGUGCAUUUCAAAUUAAAUUCCAGUGAGUAAAAAUUUGUACUUAAAUAUGUUGAGUGAUUUUAAUUUGAUGACAUCACCAAUUCAUUCUAGAAGCCAA